Molecule: long non-coding RNA, 404 nt
Filed under: Rattus norvegicus (Norway rat)
Lineage: Eukaryota; Metazoa; Chordata; Mammalia; Rodentia; Muridae
Description: long non-coding RNA NONRATT009034
Source: RNAcentral
UCCAGCAUUGUCUCUUGAUACCCCCUCGCCUGUGAGAAAAACAGCCAGCAGCACAGGGGUCCGCUGGGUGGACGGCCCCUUGAGGAGCACCCAGAGGAGCCUUGGGGAACCAUUUGAGAUCAAAGUCUAUGAGAUUGAUGACGUUGAGCGUCUACAGCGACGUCGGGGAGCUACCAGCAAGGUGAGGCCACGUUCCCCCGAGGGCCAUAGUUCCCCACAAGUCCCGCCCUAAGAAUAGAACUUCCAGAGAGCCUUCCCAGGUUCUGGGACAGGCAGUGGGUGGUGGCAGGGCUCUGGUCCCAGCCACAGACUUUGGUAGAUCCUGCGUGCUCAUUUUCUGGAACACCUUAAAAGCUGGUGAUACGCUGAGGGACCUUUCUGGCUCCCAGUUCUGAGGUUUCACA